This 590-nucleotide ribosomal RNA is filed under the name uncultured fungus. RNAcentral's name for it is "eukaryotic LSU rRNA". The stretch from base 233 to 383 matches the Rfam family "5.8S ribosomal RNA". Lineage: Eukaryota; Fungi. The record is from RNAcentral.
UCUUGGUCAUUUAGAGGAGUAAAAGUCGUAACAAGGUCUCCGUAGGUGAACCUGCGGAGGGAUCAUACCGAGUUCAUGCCCUUACGGGUAGAUCUCCCACCCUAUGUUAUAUUACUUUGUUGCUUUGGCGGGCCGUCAGGCUUCGGCCAGGCUACCGGCUCCGGUGGUAAGCGCCCGCCAGAGGACCCCAAACUCUGAAUGUUAGUGUCGUCUAGUACUAUGUAAUAGUUAAAACUUUCAACAACGGAUCUCUUGGUUCUGGAUCGAUGAAGAACGCAGCGAAAUGCGAUAAGUAAUGUGAAUUGCAGAAUCAGUGAAUCAUCGAAUCUUUGAACGCACAUUGCGCCCCUUGGUACUCCGGGGGCAUGCCUGUUCGAGCGUCAUUACAACCCUCAAGCUCUGCUUGGUAUGGGCUCCGCCGCUUACCCCGCGGGCCUUAAAAUCAGUGGCGGCGUCCUAGGCUCUGAACGUAGUAUAUAUUCCUCGUUACGGAGUCCUGGCGGCGGUGUCACCAACCCCCAACUUUCUAAGUUUGACCUCGGAUCAGGUAGGGAUACCGCUGAACUUAAGCAUAUCAAUAAGCGGAGGAA